ACCAGCUUAUACCUCCAAAGUAGUUGCUCCUUUGGUGGUUAUCGGCUCGCUGAUCAUAGGGUUGCUGUUGCUGUUGUUGUACAAAAGGCGAUCUCAAAAGGCUCGGAGGAACUCUACAGCACCCCUUAUGGAUCGUCGUGAUGCGGCUCCUACAGAUGUUGAGGAAGGUUAUAACUCUCACGAAGAUGAACCAAUCAAUCAAGACCAGUCCUGAGGAGGCACCUUGUACCAGAUGAAUAUACUGUAAUAAUCUACUGCCAAGACUCCCUUGUUUGCUAACUGCAGUCUGUCUCUGUACUUUCCUUUUGUGUAACCAGGAAUAACCUAUAUUACUGUGAUUUAGCAGACAAGCUGUAAGAUCUUUAUUCACAUAAGCUCUGCAUUUAAACAAGCAGGUCUUGAGCUUAAACCAACAUCCUCGCUGAAUCAAGCCAAGAUCAACUAUAAGAGAGGGGGAUGUUACAGGCCAAGGGACUUUAAAACAAGGCUCAAAGUGGAACAUCACCAAGAUGUUUUGUAAGAGUUGUUUGGUUGAGGAAAUGUUUAUACAUAAACAAUACAACUUUAUUGAGUUCAUGUAGAAACUGUAGCCUUUGGCAGCCAAUCAGGAGCAGCAUUUCUUCCUCUUCUUAUGUUCUGUCAGGGUUGUAAGGGGAAUAAUAAAUCACGUUUUGGGGAUAGCGGCAAGUUUUUAUAUCUUCCUGUAUGAACAGUAUAUAUAUAUAUAUACGUGUGUGUGUCUGUGUGUGUUAAGUGGCUCUAACUGAGGUUAGCUGACCUGAUCUUUUCCACUGAUCCAUGUAAUUCAGUAAUUUGUCUGAGCAGUGUAAAUGUGCCAAAAGUUAGCAACAAUUACUCUUACUGUUAGCAAAUCCCAUCAAAAAUAAAAAAUCACCUC
Long non-coding RNA from Pundamilia nyererei, 898 nucleotides. RefSeq lists it as uncharacterized. Lineage: Eukaryota; Metazoa; Chordata; Actinopteri; Cichliformes; Cichlidae. The record is from RefSeq and is a predicted model, not a curated record. The transcript is spliced from 5 exons.